RNAcentral lists this ribosomal RNA (265 nucleotides) under uncultured bacterium. Its description in RNAcentral is "partial 16S ribosomal RNA". It matches the Rfam family "Bacterial small subunit ribosomal RNA", at positions 524 to 787 of the family's 1533-position model. The record is from RNAcentral.
UACGAAGGGGGCUAGCGUUGCUCGGAAUUACUGGGCGUAAAGCGCACGUAGGCGGCUUUCUAAGUCGGGGGUGAAAUCCUGGAGCUCAACUCCAGAACUGCCUUCGAUACUGGAGAGCUUGAGUCCGGGAGAGGUGAGUGGAACUGCGAGUGUAGAGGUGAAAUUCGUAGAUAUUCGCAAGAACACCAGUGGCGAAGGCGGCUCACUGGCCCGGUACUGACGCUGAGGUGCGAAAGCGUGGGGAGCAAACAGGAUUGAGAAACCC